This 497-nucleotide ribosomal RNA is filed under the name uncultured bacterium. Its description in RNAcentral is "partial 16S ribosomal RNA". It matches the Rfam family "Bacterial small subunit ribosomal RNA", at positions 28 to 507 of the family's 1533-position model. The record is from RNAcentral.
GACGAACGCUGGCGGCGUGCCUAAUACAUGCAAGUCGAGCGAUGGAGCGAGAUGCUUGUCUCUCUGAUGUUAGCGGCGGACGGGUGAGUAACACGUGGAGAAUCUACCUAUAAGACUGGGAUAACAUCGGGAAACCGGUGCUAAUACCGGAUGAUAUUUUGAACCGCAUGGUUCAAGAGUGAAAGACGGUCUUGCUUUCACUAAUGGAUGGACCCGCGCUGCAUUAGCUAGUUGGUAGGGUAACGGCCUACCAAGGCAACGAUGCAUAGCCGCCCUGAGAGGGGGGUCGGCAACACUGGAGCGGGGACACGGCCCAGAUGCCUCCGGGAGGCAGCAGUAGGGAAUCUUCCUGAAUGGGCGAAGUCCGGCCGAUGCAGCGCCGCGUGGUGAAUGAUGGUCUUCGGAUGGUAAAGCUCUUUUAUUGGGAAAGAAGAUGGGUGGAAGUGACUGUGCAUAUCUUGACGGUACCUACUCAGAAAGCGACGGCUAACUACGUG